RNAcentral lists this transfer RNA (68 nucleotides) under Microlophus bivittatus. RNAcentral's name for it is "tRNA-His". It matches the Rfam family "tRNA". From Rfam's summary of the family: Transfer RNA (tRNA) molecules are approximately 80 nucleotides in length. Their secondary structure includes four short double-helical elements and three loops (D, anti-codon, and T loops). RNAcentral also lists the same sequence under 1 other name. Lineage: Eukaryota; Metazoa; Chordata; Lepidosauria; Squamata; Tropiduridae. The record is from RNAcentral.
GUCAACAUAGUUUAACCAAAACAUUAGGCUGUGGCUCUAAAAAUAGAAGAUACAUCUUCUUGUUAACC